GCCGGUGUAGCCCAAUUGGAAGAGGCACCUGACUUAGGAUCGGGCCAGUCGGGGUUCGAGUCCUCGCACCGGCA
RNAcentral lists this transfer RNA (74 nucleotides) under Herbidospora galbida. It matches the Rfam family "tRNA". From Rfam's summary of the family: Transfer RNA (tRNA) molecules are approximately 80 nucleotides in length. Lineage: Bacteria; Bacillati; Actinomycetota; Actinomycetes; Streptosporangiales; Streptosporangiaceae. The record is from Rfam by way of RNAcentral.